AGCGAAUGCUGGCGGUAGGCCUAACACAUGCAAGUCGAACGGCAGCACAGUAAGAGCUUGCUCUUACGGGUGGCGAGUGGCGGACGGGUGAGGAAUACAUCGGAAUCUACUUUUUCGUGGGGGAUAACGUGGGGAAACUUACGCUAAUACCGCAUACGACCUCCGGGUGAAAGCAGGGGAUCUUCGGACCUUGCGCGAAUGAAUGAGCCGAUGUCGGAUUAGCUAGUUGGCGGGGUAAAGGCCCACCAAGGCGACGAUCCGUAGCUGGUCUGUGAGGAUGAUCAGCCACACUGGAACUGAGACACGGUCCAGACUCCUACGGGAGGCAGCAGUGGGGAAUAUUGGACAAUGGGCGCAAGCCUGAUCCAGCCAUACCGCGUGGGUGAAGAAGGCCUUCGGGUUGUAAAGCCCUUUUGUUGGGAAAGAAAAGCAGCAGGUUAAUACCCCGCUGUUCUGACGGUACCCAAAGAAUAAGCACCGGCUAACUUCGUG
This 492-nucleotide ribosomal RNA is filed under the name uncultured bacterium. RNAcentral describes it as "partial 16S ribosomal RNA". It matches the Rfam family "Bacterial small subunit ribosomal RNA", at positions 29 to 507 of the family's 1533-position model. The record is from RNAcentral.